RNAcentral lists this ribosomal RNA (301 nucleotides) under uncultured bacterium. RNAcentral describes it as "partial 16S ribosomal RNA". It matches the Rfam family "Bacterial small subunit ribosomal RNA", at positions 509 to 807 of the family's 1533-position model. The record is from RNAcentral.
CAGCCGCCGCGGGAAUACGUAGGGUGCAAGCGUUAAUCGGAAUUACUGGGCGUAAAGCGUGCGCAGGCGGUUUGUUAAGACAGAUGUGAAAUCCCCGGGCUCAACCUGGGAACUGCAUUUGUGACUGGCAAGCUAGAGUGUGGCAGAGGGGGGUGGAAUUCCGCGUGUAGCAGUGAAAUGCGUAGAUAUGCGGAGGAACACCGAUGGCGAAGGCAGCCCCCUGGGCCAACACUGACGCUCAUGCACGAAAGCGUGGGGAGCAAACAGGAUUAGAUACCCCUGUAGUCCCUGUCUCUUAUAC